AAUUACAAUAAGAUAAAGAGUAAGUUAAAACACUUAAAGUUAAUUUACAUUAAUAGAAAUCAAAUUCAAUAAUUUAGGUUCACAUAUUAACACAUAACUAUUAAAUAAAAACUAUUAAAAAAUAACUUGAAUAAUAAAUAAUAAAUUAAUUUAAGAAAUAUUAGUUAUCUUCAUGAGCAAUUUUUUUAUCAAUGUAUCAAACUCAUUUUUCCUGUAAACUUUUAAUAUUUACAAAUUAUUAUUACUUAUGAGUUUAGAUAAAUAAGAAAAUUACCAUUAUAUUCAGCAAUUCAAGAAACGUAAAAUCACGUAUUUAACUUACACUUGUGGAACCAAAAUCGGCCAAUUUUACCCAUUGUCUUUUGUUUUAUCAAAUUCGUUUAUUUUUAUUAAUUACAGUUUAUUAAUUAUGAUACAUAACAUUACGUAAUAUCAAAGCUACACAAGUAAAAUGCAUUAAAAGAAUUAGUUACUCGCAUAAGAAUGACAUCUACAUGUUCCCUGAAUUAUUUACUCCAAAGACCCAGAAUAUAUUGCUAACGAAAUAAAUUUAUAAAACAUAAAUCUAUAAUAUUUAGUUACUACAAGAGUGAAGUACAUCACAAAUAGGUAGAUAAAUUUAUGUUGUUUUUUAAAUUUAUUUUGUUAGGAAAAUAUUCUGUGCCUUUGUAUCUUGAAAACAAAUACGGACCGUUAGGAAAACAUCACGGACCGUUUAGAUACCAUUCUUAUUUGAGCAAUGACUAAAUAGUAUGUCGUUUCAUAAAUUUAUUUUGAUAGUAAAAUAAUCCGAAUAUCUUCAAAAAAAAAAAAUUUAGGAAACAUUUAGAUACCAUUCUCAUACGAGCAACUAAUUUUUGUAGUAAACAUUAUUCUUAUAGCUAUAUUACGUAAUAAUAUUUAUUUAUUUGUGAAAAAUGACUUCUUUCGAUUACAACUGAGAGCGAAAAAUAACAAAUAAUUUAUAUUAUUAAUUCUUUAAUUUGUUUUAUAUACAUACUUGUUUUGUAAUGGCUUAAUAUUAAGCUAUCUGGCCAUCGGUAACAUUUUUAUAAGAAAUUUUAGAGCAAAAAAUUAGUCAUAAAAAAUUACGUAUACUUUCAUCAGCAAAAUAUAAUAAUAAUUAGCAAAUACCCAUAUAUAAUUUGAUAUGUUCUAAUAAUAUAACUUAUUGUUAGCUAGCUUAAAGACUUGUGGGCAAUCAGGAAAGCAAAAAAUUGGUAAAUUUUUUUAAAUGAGUAAAACUGAAUGAACUUAUUUAUUGAAAAACCUUUACAUAUAAAAGAGGAACACUUAUAUAAUAUGCAAUAAUUUUUUUAUUAAAAAAAAUUUUAAAAUAAGUAAAAAAUAGCAGCUCAUCGAAGACGCUUCCAAAAUAAUUUGUCUUGCAAUGUUCAUUCUAACGCGUGUGUUAAGUUAGCCCCCACACAUUAAAAUUCUGAUAUGAGUUCCGAUUUUAUUUUUAAGAGAUAAAGAAUUCUGUGUAGUUUAAAAAAAGAGUUCUGUUGAUUAACGGUCGGAAAUUAAAAUUUAAAAAAUGGGAUGCUAACUUCUUAUCGAAAUUUCAGAUUCGAAUAGUUUUGAAUGGCUCAAUAGUUUUAUUUCACGAUUAUCUAGAGUUCCUGAAGCAUAAAAAAAAUUUCGAUUAAAAAAAAUUAAAAAUUAUUAAAAAUUUGAUUUUAAGAUACGAUAGUUGUGAGAUGUUUCUAUUGUUAUUUUACUUAUUUCGCAGAGUUCUUGACGAAUAAAAAAAAUUUAGAUCAAAAAAUUAAAGAAUUAUGAACUAUAAACAAAAUUUCAAAAUCAGUUAAAAAUGACAUGUAUCUGCUUAUCCUGUCAUCCAAUCGUUCUGGCUUAUAAAACUUUUCGCCAGACUUAUCGAGAACUACUCAAAAAUGUAAUUAGAACUAUUCGGAACUGCAAAAAAUUUUUCGACCACGGUAUUUAGAAAAUUUUGCGAUCACCAUUUAAUUAUGUAACAGUACCUUACAAACCGUUGACCGAAUCGUUUUGACUUGUAAAAUUUUUCGCGAGAACUCGACGAAAACUAUCCAGAAAUGUAAUCAGAACUAUACGGAACUCCAAAAAAUUUUUCGACCACAAGACUUAAAAAAUUUUGCGAUCAUCGUUAUAAUACGUAACAAUACCUUGCAAACCAUUGAUCGCUUUCAUUCGUAAGACUUUUCGCUAAAACUCGUCGAGAACUAUCCAGAAAUGUAAUCAAAAUUGUUCGGAACUCCGAAAAAUUUUUCGACCAUGGGACUUAAAAAUUUUUUACGAUCACCAUUCUAAUAUGUGACAGUACCUUGCAAACCGUUGAUCAAAACGUUUUGAUUUAUAAGACUUUUUGCGAGAACUCGUCGAGAACUACCUAGAAAUAUAAUCAGAACUAUUCAGAACUCCAGAAAUUUUUCGACCAUGAGAUUUACAAGAUGUUCGAUACCGAUUCUACAUUUUUGCAAACUAUUUGUGUGAUCUCUUUGAAUAAUAUAACUUUCCAUCAGAAACCCUAAAAACCUACCAGAAUUUUAAUCGUAAUUGUUUAAAAUUCUAAGAAACUUUUAGUUGCGUCAAGUUUACACAGUAAAAAAUAUUUUGUAUUUGUGUUAAAAUUUUUCCUUGUAAAAAGUUUUGUGUUAAAUUUUUAACACAGUUGUGUUAAUUUACCAUAUUACUGUUGUGUUAUUUGAACUUUUGUAUGUUAAAUUAAUAUUAACUAUUUUUAAAAGUUAAAAUAACACAAUUUAUACGUAAAUACAUGAAAUCUUGGUGACGUAUUUUAUAUGUUAAAGUGAACAAAUAAAUUAUGUUACUUUCCUCUUUGUAACAGUUACCAUAUAUUAAAUGAACAUAUUUCUCAUGUUAUUAUAAAGAAAUCGUUGUCUUAUAUCGUUUGAUUCCCCCCAACCCCACGCAACGCGACGUUCGUGUUUAUAGCCGCUGCAACAGACCAACAAGUCCCUGCGUGUAGCGAACACGGAUGGCGUAGCGUAUGUACCUCACUUUUCUCACUUUAGUGAUUAUGUGUAAGUGUGAAGUUAUCGCUUGAGACUACCGUGUUUUUUUCUGCAUAAGAAGCAUUUUUCUAAUUCCCACUCAGUGAUCUCAGUGUGUCGAUUACGACCAUCGUAAGUAUUAUGCGAAAUCUUGUGAUUUAGUCCUUAUAACUUCUUAAGUAAAAUUAAGGACCAUCACUAAUACGGCUGUGUGACGACGAUUUGCAAAUAAUUAGCUCGCCGGCUAUUUAAUUCCAUUGAAAACGAAUUUAAUUGUAUAAACAUCAACUAUGUCGAUGAAAAAUUAUAGUCGCAGAAUAGCGCCAAACGAAUUUGAAAAACAAGGGGAUUGUUUUAUUUUUCUACGCAAGAGUAAAAUCGUGUGCGAAUACGAAACUCUGGACAAAAUUCUUAUUCCUCUAUAUUUAUCGUUAAACAUGCAGGAAAUUAAUAUAAAUUAUUUAUUCUGCGUUUUGCAAUAUAAAGAUGAUAAAGUAUGGGUAAAAAUUGAAGAGCCAUGUAAUUUUCACCAUUUUAUUGUAAAAGCCGAAGAAACUUUUCCCUCAUUAAGAAAUACAGAUUUCAUAUUCACUGACAUAAACAAUGCUAAACUGGAAUCAGAUAUUUUAUUGGAUUAUGUUCGAAUAAAUCCACAAGGAGUUAUAAUUAAAAUAAAAACUGUUACAAAUAUCAUUGAUAUCUCAUUUUCGCAAACUUCUGAAGAAAUAAAUAUACCAUCUACAAGUUCAGAUAGAGAUGCAGAUAGUUCUAUUGUAGUAUCAGAUAUUUCUGAUAUUAGAUCGGAUAGUGAUCCUGAAGAAUAUGCAUCAUCCUCAAAAAAAUGCAAAUUAAAUACUACCGCUUUGGAAAAUGAAAUUAUAUCAAAAAAUGUAUGAUAAGUAAAUUUCUUUUUGUUUUGCUUUAUUACGUUUAUUUUGUUUUAUUAUUUUAUUAAUACGUAUUGUAAUUUUUUUCUAGAAAUUACGUGAAAUAAUAAAAGAUUCGGCGUGCGGACAAGAAAUACUUAACGAUUAUGAAAAAAAUAAAUAUUUAUCGGAAAAGAGUAGAAGGCUCGUAGUAAAAAUUGUUGUGCAACAUUUAAUAAAAUAUAAAGAGAAAGUAAACAGACAAAUUUUAUCUCAUGAAAAAUGUAGUUAUGCACAAGCUAUUAUUGACCUCUUUCCAAAUUUAAAAAACACUGAAGGUGAUCUUGGCUAUGAACAUUUUUAUAAUCCUGAAACUAGUACUGGAUAUAUUGCUUCACGUUUAUCGAACGUACAACGAAAAAAAAGCGUUUCAAAAAUUGUUUUUAAUAAAAAACAAAAAGAAAAUAUCGAAAAUAUCAAUAUAAGAACUGAGUAUGCUGAUGAAACAGAUACUAUUAAAGACUCUAUAGAUUUUAUGAAACAUGCAA
Molecule: unclassified non-coding RNA, 4410 nt
Filed under: Monomorium pharaonis (pharaoh ant)
Lineage: Eukaryota; Metazoa; Arthropoda; Insecta; Hymenoptera; Formicidae
Description: uncharacterized LOC118645458, transcript variant X1
Source: RNAcentral